GUGGGGAAUAUUGGACAAUGGGCGAAAGCCUGAUCCAGCAAUGCCGCGUGAGUGAUGAAGGCCUUAGGGUUGUAAAGCUCUUUUACCAGGGAUGAUAAUGACAGUACCUGGAGAAUAAGCUCCGGCUAACUCCGUGCCAGCAGCCGCGGUAAUACGGAGGGAGCUAGCGUUGUUCGGAAUUACUGGGCGUACAGCGCACGUAGGCGGUUACUCAAGUCAGAGGUGAAAGCCCGGGGCUCAACCCCGUAACUGACUUUGAAACUAAGUAACUAGAAUCUUGGAGAGGUCAGUGGAAUUCCGAGUGUAGAGGUGAAAUACGUAGAUAUUCGGAAGAACACCAGUGGCGAGGGCGACUGACUGGACAAGUAUUGACGCUGAGGUGCGAAAGCGUGGGGAGCAAACAGGAUUAGAAACCCCAGUAGUCC
RNAcentral lists this ribosomal RNA (425 nucleotides) under uncultured bacterium. RNAcentral describes it as "partial 16S ribosomal RNA". It matches the Rfam family "Bacterial small subunit ribosomal RNA", at positions 354 to 796 of the family's 1533-position model. The record is from RNAcentral.